UUGCAGUGAUGAGCUUCCACUUCAUGGUCCGUGUUUUUGAAACGAAAUGAUAACUUCAGAAGUUCUGAGUUC
Myripristis murdjan (pinecone soldierfish) is the source of this 72-nucleotide small nucleolar RNA. Its record names the gene SNORD18. It matches the Rfam family "Small nucleolar RNA SNORD18". From Rfam's summary of the family: U18 is a member of the C/D class of snoRNA which contain the C (UGAUGA) and D (CUGA) box motifs. Lineage: Eukaryota; Metazoa; Chordata; Actinopteri; Holocentriformes; Holocentridae. The record is from Ensembl.